AUUGCUCCCAGACUGGGUUCACCUCCACCUGCUGAACUCAUAGAACAGCAAACAACAAGUCCAGAGACAGACUCAAAUGUAGCAUCACUUUCAUCACUCACUCCUGGACUCCUGUGAACCAUAACGAGUGUGGCCCCUCUAAACAUCAGUAACUAAGAAAAUACGUCAGAAGGUGUUGUUCAACACACCCAUUUACAACACGGCUGUGAAGAUCUGGUGGGCUACAGGGCUCAGAUUGCAAUGAUGAUGGACUUCAGCAGGAAAACAAAAUCUCAUCACACAUCACUGCUAGUAUAUUCUUCACAGAACAUAAAAUAAAAU
Molecule: long non-coding RNA, 321 nt
Organism: Pelmatolapia mariae (spotted tilapia)
Lineage: Eukaryota; Metazoa; Chordata; Actinopteri; Cichliformes; Cichlidae
Exons: 3
Source: RefSeq, a predicted model, not a curated record